AAAUUGUAGAAAGACUGGCUGUGACAUCUGUCACCCUACUGAUCGCCAGGGUUGAUUGGCUGAUCUGGCUGGCUGGGUGUCCCCUUCCUCCCUCACUGCUCCUUGUGCAUCCCUUCCAGACUGAAGUUUACCCUGGGGACACUGAGCACUGGGGAUGAGCUGUCCUAUUAAUCCCUGACUUAUAGCAUUAUAUUUGCAGGUCAGAACAUAGGGAGGAACUGAAGGGCUGAUUGAUAAGAGGAAAAACAAGACGAAGUUGUUUUGUUGAAAUAC
Unclassified non-coding RNA from Mustela putorius furo (domestic ferret), 273 nucleotides. Its record names the gene 7SK. It matches the Rfam family "7SK RNA". From Rfam's summary of the family: 7SK was discovered as an abundant small nuclear RNA in the mid-70s but a possible function has only recently been suggested. Two independent studies have found that 7SK RNA binds the CDK9/cyclin T complex (known as elongation factor P-TEFb). Lineage: Eukaryota; Metazoa; Chordata; Mammalia; Carnivora; Mustelidae. The record is from Ensembl.